Molecule: microRNA precursor, 201 nt
Organism: Oryza sativa Japonica Group (Japanese rice)
Lineage: Eukaryota; Viridiplantae; Streptophyta; Magnoliopsida; Poales; Poaceae
Rfam family: MIR812 microRNA precursor family
Source: Rfam
AAAAAGACAAACCUGGUUUCCGUGUCCAAUGUUUGACAGUCCGUCUUAUUUGAAAAAAAUAUGAAAAAAAUUAAAAAGACAAGUCACGCAUAAAAUAUUAAUCAUGUUUUAUCAUCUAACAACAAUGAAAAUACGAAUUAUAAAAAAAUAUAUAAAACGGACAGUUAAAGUUGGACACGGAAACUCAGGGUUUGCCUUUUU